Molecule: ribosomal RNA, 164 nt
Filed under: Ourisia caespitosa
Lineage: Eukaryota; Viridiplantae; Streptophyta; Magnoliopsida; Lamiales; Plantaginaceae
Description: 5.8S ribosomal RNA
Rfam family: 5.8S ribosomal RNA
About the family: 5.8S ribosomal RNA (5.8S rRNA) is a component of the large subunit of the eukaryotic ribosome.
Source: RNAcentral
UCAAAACGACUCUCGGCAACGGAUAUCUCGGCUCUCGCAUCGAUGAAGAACGUAGCAAAACGCGAUAUUUGGUGUGAAUUGCAGAAUCCCGUGAACCAUCGAGUUUUUGAACGCAAGUUGCGCGCGAAGCCAUUAGGCCGAGGGCACGUCUGCAUGGGCGUCAC